UCCGAUGUAGUGUAACGGCUAUCGCAUCACGCUUUCACCGUGGAGACCGGGGUUCGACUCCCCGUAUCGGAA
Molecule: transfer RNA, 72 nt
Filed under: Zygosaccharomyces rouxii
Lineage: Eukaryota; Fungi; Ascomycota; Saccharomycetes; Saccharomycetales; Saccharomycetaceae
Description: tRNA-Glu
Rfam family: tRNA
About the family: Transfer RNA (tRNA) molecules are approximately 80 nucleotides in length.
Source: RNAcentral